RNAcentral lists this ribosomal RNA (435 nucleotides) under uncultured bacterium. RNAcentral's name for it is "partial 16S ribosomal RNA". It matches the Rfam family "Bacterial small subunit ribosomal RNA", at positions 28 to 507 of the family's 1533-position model. The record is from RNAcentral.
AGCGAACGCUGGCGGCAGGCUUAACACAUGCAAGUCGAGCGGGCACUUUCGGGUGUUAGCGGCGGACGGGUGGGUAACGCGUGGGAACGUGCCCUCUGGUUCGGAAUAUCUCAGGGUAACUUGAGCUAAUACCGGAUAAGCUCUUUUGGGGAAAGGCUUGCUGCCGGAGGAUCGGCUCGCGACUGAUUAGUUAGCUGGUGAGGUUAGGGCUCACCAAGGCGCCGUUCAGUAGCGGGGCUGUGAGGAUGUGCAGCCACAAUGAGAGUAAGACGCGGCCCGGACUCCUACGGGAUGCAGGAGUGGGGAAUAGUGGACAGUGGGGGCAAGCCUGAUGCAGCCAGGCCGCGAGAGUGAUGAAGGCCUUAGAGAUGUAAAGCUCUUUUAUCCAGGACGGUAUUGACGGUACCGGAGGAAUAAGCCCCGGCUAACUUCGUG